CUGGUUUCGCUGGUUCCUCCUUUCUGAAGAACUGUAAUGUCAUUAAUUUGGUGUUGCAGGGAAACAGGACUGUUACUUUGAAAAAAUUAGAGUGUUUAAAGCAGGCUAACGCUUGAAUACAUUAGCAUGGAAUAAUGAAAUAGGACGUUCAAACCUAUUUUGUUGGUUUCUAGGAUUGACGUAAUGAUUAAUGGGGAUAGUUGGGGGCAUUAGUAUUCAAUUGUCAGAGGUGAAAUUCUUGGAUUUAUUGAAGACUAACUACUGCGAAAGCAUUUGCCAAGGAUGUUUUCAUUAAUCAAGAACGAAAGUUAGGGGAUCGAAGACGAUCAGAUACCGUCGUAGUCUUAACCAUAAACUAUGCCGACUAGGGAUCGGAUGAUGUUAAUUUUUUAAUGACUCAUUCGGCGCCUUACG
RNAcentral lists this ribosomal RNA (414 nucleotides) under uncultured Glomeromycotina. Its description in RNAcentral is "SSU rRNA". It matches the Rfam family "Eukaryotic small subunit ribosomal RNA", at positions 680 to 1092 of the family's 1831-position model. Lineage: Eukaryota; Fungi; Glomeromycota. The record is from RNAcentral.